RNAcentral lists this ribosomal RNA (460 nucleotides) under uncultured bacterium. RNAcentral's name for it is "partial 16S ribosomal RNA". It matches the Rfam family "Bacterial small subunit ribosomal RNA", at positions 338 to 795 of the family's 1533-position model. The record is from RNAcentral.
CCUACGGGAGGCAGCAGUGAGGAAUAUUGGUCAAUGGCCGGAAGGCUGAACCAGCCAUGCCGCGUGAAGGUCAGUGCCCUAUGGGCGUUAAACUUCUUUUGUGCGGGAGCAAUAAUGGUCACGUGUGGCCAGACGAGAGUACCGUACGAAUAAGCAUCGGCUAACUCCGUGCCAGCAGCCGCGGUAAUACGGGGGAUGCAAGCGUUAUCCGGAUUUAUUGGGGUUAAAGGGUGCGUAGGUUGUGAGGUAAGUCAGCGGUGAAAUGCCCCCGCUCAACGGGGUGAAGUGCCAUUGAUACUGCCUUGCUGGAAUGCGGAUGCCGUGGGAGGAAUGUGUGGUGUAGCGGUGAAAUGCAUAGAUAUCACACAGAACACCGAUUGCGAAGGCAUCUCACGAAUCCGCGAUUGACGCUGAUGCACGAAAGCGUGGGUAUCAAACAGGAUUAGAUACCCGUGUAGUC